UAGGGAAUAUUAGUAAUGGGCGAAAGCCUGAACUAGCAACGCCGCGUGUGCGAAGAAGGCCUUCGGGUUGUAAAGCACUUUUUGAGAGGAUGAGGUAGGACGGUACUCUCAGAAUAAGUCUCGGCUAACUACGUGCCAGCAGCCGCGGUAACUCGUAGGAGGCAAACGUUAUCCGGAUUUACUGGGCGUAAAGCGCGUGUAGGUGGUUUGUAAGUAGGGCGUGAAAGCUCCUGGCUCAACUGGGAGAGGACGUUCUAAACUGCCAAGCUUGAGGAUGGUAGAGGGAGGUGGAAUUCCGGGUGUAGCGGUGGAAUGCGCAGAUAUCCGGAGGAACACCAGUGGCGAAGGCGGCCUCCUGGACCACUCCUGACACUCAGACGCGAAAGCUAGGGUAGCAAACGG
RNAcentral lists this ribosomal RNA (402 nucleotides) under uncultured bacterium. Its description in RNAcentral is "bacterial SSU rRNA". It matches the Rfam family "Bacterial small subunit ribosomal RNA", at positions 355 to 775 of the family's 1533-position model. The record is from RNAcentral.